RNAcentral lists this unclassified non-coding RNA (517 nucleotides) under Hevea brasiliensis (rubber tree). The record is from RNAcentral. Lineage: Eukaryota; Viridiplantae; Streptophyta; Magnoliopsida; Malpighiales; Euphorbiaceae.
GGAUGGAGAAAUUCCUACUUGUAUUAUGCAACUCCGUCACUGGAUUUGGAUGUAUACUGUAGUAAAACAUACAAAAUUUUACAAGCCACUAUCCAUACAAAAUACCUCUACUCCAUGUAUUUCAACUAUUUGGACUUGUGUCAAAGUGAAAAUAAAGAGAACGAUCGAGGCAGAAAUUGCAGAGGGAAUUUAUUUGAUUUUAUCUGCAUAAAGCUUGUCAUCUUGACAUCUGCUAUGCAAGAAAAUCAUACAAAACAUUUCCUACAAUUGUGAUCAUCCACAUGGUAAUGUAAUAAAUCCCAGAUACAUGCAGCUAAGCACAACCCAUGCGUACAAGGAUUGACCACAAUCUUCUGUGAUGACAUUAAUUUACUAUUCAGGAAGAUGGUGAGCAAGUGAGCAUGUCUUUCACAUACAAUCUUCAAUAACAAUUGGAGAAAUUCAAAACGAUAUAUACAAGUAUUUGAACCCUGAAGGUUUUUAGGGAAAAGCGUAUUGUUUGGUCUAAAUUUUCCUG